This 21-nucleotide non-coding RNA is filed under the name Caenorhabditis elegans. Lineage: Eukaryota; Metazoa; Nematoda; Chromadorea; Rhabditida; Rhabditidae. The record is from RNAcentral.
UACUGUUCUAAUCUUUUCUUU